Molecule: ribosomal RNA, 465 nt
Filed under: uncultured bacterium
Lineage: Bacteria
Description: partial 16S ribosomal RNA
Rfam family: Bacterial small subunit ribosomal RNA
Source: RNAcentral
CUACGGGCGGCACCAGUGGGAAAUAUUGGACAAUGGGGGAAACCCUGAUCCAGCAAUGCCGCGUGUGUGAAGAAGGCCUGCGGGUUGUAAAGCACUUUCGGUUGGGAGGACUGCUUCUAGCACUAAUAUUGUUGGAAGUUGACGUUACUUUCAGAAGAAGCACCGGCUAACUCCGUGCCAGCAGCCGCGGUAAUACGGAGGGUGCAAGCGUUAAUCGGAAUUACUGGGCGUAAAGCGCGCGUAGGCGGCUAGAUCAGUCGGGUGUGAAAGCCCCGGGCUUAACCUGGGAACUGCAUCCGAUACUGUCUAGCUUGAGUACAGGAGAGGAGAGUGGAAUUCCACAUGUAGCGGUGAAAUGCGUAGAUAUGUGGAGGAACACCAAUGGCGAAGGCAGCUCUCUGGCCUGAUACUGACGCUGAGGUGCGAAAGCGUGGGGAGCAAACAAGAUUAGAUACCCGCGUAGUC